AACGUAGGACACGAGCGUUAUCCGGAGUUACUGGGCGUAAAGGGCGUGCAGGCGGUUUUGUAAGUUUGAUGUGAAAGCGCCCGGCUUAACCGGGCGAGGACAUUGGAGACUGCAAGACUAGAGGCAGAUAGAGGGGUGUAGAAUUCCCGGUGUAGUGGUGAAAUGCGUAGAUAUCGGGAGGAACACCAGUGGCGAAGGCGACUACCUGGCCUGUUCUUGACGCUGAGGCGCGAAAGCUAGGGGAGCAAACGGG
This 253-nucleotide ribosomal RNA is filed under the name uncultured bacterium. Its description in RNAcentral is "partial 16S ribosomal RNA". It matches the Rfam family "Bacterial small subunit ribosomal RNA", at positions 524 to 776 of the family's 1533-position model. The record is from RNAcentral.